GACGAACGCUGGCGGCGUGCUUAACACAUGCAAGUCGAACGGAAAGGCCCUGCUUUUGUGGGGUGCUCGAGUGGCGAACGGGUGAGUAACACGUGAGUAACCUGCCCUUGACUUUGGGAUAACUUCAGGAAACUGGGGCUAAUACCGGAUAGGAGCUCCUGCUGCAUGGUGGGGGUUGGAAAGUUUCGGCGGUUGGGGAUGGACUCGCGGCUUAUCAGCUUGUUGGUGGGGUAGUGGCUUACCAAGGCUUUGACGGGUAGCCGGCCUGAGAGGGUGACCGGCAAAAUGGGGACUGAAGACGGGCCCAGCCUCCUGGGGGGGGGAAGAGGGGGGAAUGUUGCAAAAGGGGGGGAAGCCUGAGCGAACAAGCCCGGGGGGGGGGUGGGGGCCUGGGGUUUGUAAACCGCUUUCGCCUGGGAAGAAGGGGGGGGGACGGGAAGGGGUAAAAAACCCCCGGCAAAAUCCGGG
RNAcentral lists this ribosomal RNA (468 nucleotides) under uncultured bacterium. RNAcentral's name for it is "partial 16S ribosomal RNA". It matches the Rfam family "Bacterial small subunit ribosomal RNA", at positions 28 to 507 of the family's 1533-position model. The record is from RNAcentral.